AUUGAACGCUGGCGGCAUGCCUUACACAUGCAAGUCGAACGGCAGCACGGGGGCAACCCUGGUGGCGAGUGGCGAACGGGUGAGUAAUGCAUCGGAACGUGCCCAGUAGUGGGGGAUAACCAGUCGAAAGACUGGCUAAUACCGCAUACGACCUACGGGUGAAAGCGGGGGACCGUAAGGCCUCGCGCUAUUGGAGCGGCCGAUGUCUGAUUAGCUAGUUGGUAGGGUAAAGGCCUACCAAGGCCACGAUCGGUAGCUGGUCUGAGAGGAUGAUCAGCCACACUGGGACUGAGACACGGCCCAGACUCCUACGGGUGGCUG
This 321-nucleotide ribosomal RNA is filed under the name uncultured Pseudomonadota bacterium. Its description in RNAcentral is "bacterial SSU rRNA". It matches the Rfam family "Bacterial small subunit ribosomal RNA", at positions 30 to 351 of the family's 1533-position model. The record is from RNAcentral. Lineage: Bacteria; Pseudomonadati; Pseudomonadota.